Molecule: ribosomal RNA, 380 nt
Filed under: uncultured eukaryote
Lineage: Eukaryota
Description: partial 18S ribosomal RNA
Rfam family: Eukaryotic small subunit ribosomal RNA
Source: RNAcentral
CAAUAGCGUAUAUUAAAGUUGUUGCAGUUAAAAAGCUCGUAGUUGGAUUUCUGCUGAGGACGAUCGGUCCGCCCACUGGGUGAGUAUCUGGCUCGGCCUUGGCAUCUUCUUGGAGAACGUUGCUGCACUUGACUGUGUGGCGCGGUAUCCAGGACUUUUACUUUGAGGAAAUUAGAGUGUUUCAAGCAGGCGCACGCCUUGAAUACAUUAGCAUGGAAUAAUGAGAUAGGACCUUGGUUCUAUUUUGUUGGUUUCUAGAGCUGAGGUAAUGAUUAAUAGGGAUAGUUGGGGGCAUUCGUAUUUAACUGUCAGAGGUGAAAUUCUUGGAUUUGUUAGAGACGGACUACUGCGAAAGCAUUUGCCAAGGAUGUUUUCAUUGA